AGCACAGGAGAGCUCUGCUCUCGGGUGACGAGCGGCGGACGGGUGAGUAAUGUCUGGGAAACUGCCUGAUGGAGGGGGAUAACUACUGGAAACGGUAGCUAAUACCGCAUAACGUCGCAAGACCAAAGUGGGGGACCUUCGGGCCUCAUGCCAUCAGAUGUGCCCAGAUGGGAUUAGCUUGUAGGUGAGGUAACGGCUCACCUAGGCGACGAUCCCUAGCUGGUCUGAGAGGAUGACCAGCCACACUGGAACUGAGACACGGUCCAGACUCCUACGGGAGGCAGCAGUGGGGAAUAUUGCACAAUGGGCGCAAGCCUGAUGCAGCCAUGCCGCGUGUAUGAAGAAGGCCUUCGGGUUGUAAAGUACUUUCAGCGAGGAGGAAGGCGAUAAGGUUAAUAACCUUGGGGAUUGACGUUACUCGCAGAAGAAGCACCGGCUAACUCCGUGCCAGCAGCCGCGGUAAUACGGAGGGUGCAAGCGUUAAUCGGAAUUACUGGGCGUAAAGCGCACGCAGGCGGUCUGUUAAGUCAGAUGUGAAAUCCCCGGGCUCAACCUGGGAACUGCAUUUGAAACUGGCAGGCUAGAGUCUUGUAGAGGGGGGUAGAAUUCCAGGUGUAGCGGUGAAAUGCGUAGAGAUCUGGAGGAAUACCGGUGGCGAAGGCGGCCCCCUGGAC
Molecule: ribosomal RNA, 674 nt
Filed under: Enterobacter sp. INBio3713G
Lineage: Bacteria; Pseudomonadati; Pseudomonadota; Gammaproteobacteria; Enterobacterales; Enterobacteriaceae
Description: bacterial SSU rRNA
Rfam family: Bacterial small subunit ribosomal RNA
Source: RNAcentral